Molecule: ribosomal RNA, 279 nt
Filed under: uncultured bacterium
Lineage: Bacteria
Description: partial 16S ribosomal RNA
Rfam family: Bacterial small subunit ribosomal RNA
Source: RNAcentral
GUGCAGCCGCCGCGGUAAUACGGAGGGUCCAAGCGUUAUCCGGAUUUAUUGGGCGUAAAGGGCGCGCAGGCGGUCUUGUCCGUCAGGUGUGAAAGCUCGGGGCUCAACCCCGGAAGUGCACUUGAAACAGCAAGACUUGAAUACGGUAGAGGAGAGAGGAAUUCCUGGUGUAGAGGUGAAAUUCGUAGAUAUCAGGAGGAACACCGAUGGCGAAGGCAUCUCUCUGGACAGAUAUUGACGCUGAGGCGCGAAGGCGUGGGUAGCGAACGGGAUUAGAUA